GCCAGAACCAAGAAACUCAGGAAGUUUCCAUCCUGCGCAGAACAGCAAGCAAGCAUGACCAGUGCCUCUGUUCUCUCUGCCGCACCCAGUGGUUUUUCGGCACCUUCCAGAUGUGGUGAAUGAGACUCAUUGCAGCCAGCUGUUUCUGAUUGAGCGCUGCAAAUUCAACACUUAAGAAAAUCUGUCAGUUGUGGGAAAGUCUAGAUAAUUCUAGAAGGUCUUCGAAGUCUUCCUUACCCUCCCUACAGCAGUGUUUUAAGUAUUGGGCAUCUAUCAAAUAUAUUUGAAUGAAUACAUCAAUGGGACAGAAGACUGAAACAUGGAGAAGCAGUAUCUCAUGGGAAGUAAGGGUAGAA
Molecule: long non-coding RNA, 356 nt
Organism: Chinchilla lanigera (long-tailed chinchilla)
Lineage: Eukaryota; Metazoa; Chordata; Mammalia; Rodentia; Chinchillidae
Exons: 3
Source: RefSeq, a predicted model, not a curated record